This 1810-nucleotide long non-coding RNA is filed under the name Octopus vulgaris (common octopus). Lineage: Eukaryota; Metazoa; Mollusca; Cephalopoda; Octopoda; Octopodidae. The record is from RNAcentral.
GCUGGGUAUGAUGGAAAGUGUUAGCUGUCCACAGCCAGCAGACUGAGAUGACACUUGUUUACUGGUCAUGCUUCAAGAACCCUGGGAAGAAUCCUUGCUGUUCCAAGCAAUGUUGGGUUUUGUAGGUGUUCUGUCUUUACAUUUGUACCGAUCUUUUUGAGCCAUGCUGGUAGUUGAGUGCUGAUACUUCCAAGUGUACCAAUUACUAUUGGUAUCACAUCUACUCUCCUCAUUGACCAUAACCUUUGUAUUUCCCUCUUCAAAUCAUUGUAGUUGUUCAGUUUUUCUUCUUUCUCUUUGAUCCUGUUGUCACCAAGACACGCUAUGUUGAUUUUCAUGCAAGUUCUUUCUUUUUUAUUCACCACAACAAUGUCUAGUUUCCAAUGUCUGGUCAGGUGAUUUCACUGAAUCAUUGCAUCCUACAGGAUUUUGCAAUCUUCAUUUUCGGUGACUUCUUCUGGGGUUUGAUCAUACCACAUCUUAGCUGUUUGUAUGCCAUAAUUUCCUUAGAGCUCCCAAUGGAUUAUUCUUGCCACAUUGUCAUGUCAUCUUUAGGCAUUCACUAAUAGUGUGCCAUACUAUUUCAUCCCUCUCACCACACAUUCUGCAUUUGUCUAUUUUGGUAGCAUUGUUGAUUCUGCACUUCACAUAAUUAGUACUUAAUGCUUGUUCUUGUGCUGCACAUAUAAGUGCUUCUGUCUCUACCUUCAGGUCACUACUCCUCAUCCAAAGCCACCAGUCUUCUGCAUCUGUCUGUAUUAGGGUGUCUUUGGUCAUUCUUAUUGUUAACUUGUAGGCCAAAAGACUUUUUUAAAUUUCUGACUUAGCUUCAUGACUGAAACUUGUUUGGAAUCUUCAUGCUUCAGUGCAGUUCAUAAGAGCACAUCACUGGUAAUGCAGUUCAUAAGAGCACAUCACUGGUAAUAAGGUACGUUUCAAGGCCUAUUAUUGCUGGUUUGAAGGAUUGUUUGAACUGUAUCAGGCUUCUUCCACCUAUUUUUCUUGGGAGAUAAAUCUUGUCUACAUCUGAUUUUGGAUGGUGCAUUCAGUAACUUGUAAAGAUUUUACAGAUCUUUCCAUCCAUAUUCUGCAUGUCAGUGAGACUCCACUUAAUGAUACCGAAGCUAUAUGUGGUUACUGGUAUGGCCAAAGAAUUGAUCGCAUUAAUUUUGUUAGCAACAUUUAAUGCUGAGUUUAGGAACAUUCCUACCCUUUUGUAGCAUUUCUUGCAGAUUUUCCCUUCCAUUUUAGAGUGCUAGAUACCAUCACCUUCAUUUGUUCCCAGACAUUUGUAUACUUCGGAUUUGUCUCGGUUUUAAAUAACUGUGGUGGUAUCAAGUUUUAUGUUUUCUGCCUUUAUGAACUUUCCUGCCUUGAAAAUAGCCAUUGUACAUUUAUCAAGUCUGAAUUCCAUACCUAUAUCAGAGCUGAAUUCUUUGACAAUAUUCAGGAGCUCUUCUAAUUCUUUGUCGUUUUUGACAAACAGUUUUAGAUCAUCCAUAUAGAGUAGAUGAUUAAUUUUCUAGUCAAAGAUCUUAUACCCUCUCUUAGCAUAAUUCAGUUGCAUGUCUAUGUGUGUGUGUGUUCUGAUGCUGAAACAUAAGUUCAAAAGAAAUGGAAGUAGAGAGAUGUGUCACUGAAGAGAUUGCAACAAUGUAAUGAAAUAAUUAUUUGACAAAGAAAAAAAAACACAAACAAUACUGAACAAUAUCAAUAAAGAAACGAACCAGUGUGUGUUUAUUAUUACUGGCAUAAUGCCCCUCCUAAGGUUCAGUCAGUAGUGGGAGGAUUGGCACUGAAAGUGUAGCUG